UUAGAGGAAUAGAAAAGGACAGAAGAAACACAAGCCUCAUUACGAAAUCACUUCAGAAGGAAAAUCAGGAGUUGUGUAUAUGAUGAGAAAGAGCUUAUGAAAUAAGGAUGAUGCCCUAUGCUCUCUCAAAGAGAAUUUUGGAAGACCACAUAAAGAUUUAAACAGCCCAGCAUGCAGACUGAUCCUCCGCUAACCAAUCGAUGGAAGAAAGUUCAAUGUCAUUUUAAAGCUGAGUUUAUAAUGGAUGUUUCAAGGGCCCUGAAGCUUAAAGUCACCAGUGCCAAAGUAGCCUCAUCUGGAGGCCUGCCUGCAGGUAAUAAUGUGCCAAUCACCCACCUCGAAUCUUUGGCUUUGAGUUUUCUCUCCUCGGAGCCUGUUGUCCCAUUCUUCCAGAAUUUUUUAUUGAAGGUUUUCCCGAUAAGGCUCACAAUGAGGACAGUUUGCAGAGAAGUGAGAAAUGGGAUUAUGGGGGUGGGAAUGGGCGAAAGCAGUACAUUCAUUUUGGGGAAAAUGAAAGGGAGUUGGAGGGCCAGUUCUAAACCUGGAAACCCCCGAAAGCAAUGGAUGUCUCGCAUACCACAAUUAUGUCUGCGUAUCUCUCCAUUCUUUUUUUUUUUUUUUUUGUUUCGGGCCCCCUCUUUCCACUUCCCGACUUUAUCAUUUCUUUGAAAGGGAGGCAAAGGGAGAGGGUAACUCGUCUCUCUAGGCUUUCACCUUAUAAAGUGCUGAGCAGAAAGGAGCAUCUUUCUUCUCCAGAUAUCGUCCUUCCCUGCUAUGAAGAGUCCAUGGGAACCAUCUCAAAAGUUCUCCCAAGAUGCCAAUUUGAACUAAGCCCCGUUUCAAUAUUUAUCGAGCAAAUCAAUGAAGAAUUCGCAUUUCAAGCAGAGACCUAAAAAGCACAGAAGCCACUUUCUUCCGUUCGGCUCAUCUCAGAGAUCGAUUCUUUUUCUAGGAAGAGCUAAAAAGGCUCAGGCAAGUCUGGUGUCCUUUUCCCUCAACUACAGAUCCGAUCCCACCUAUGCCAGGGAGCUGUCCCUGGUGCUUCUCCCCCUCACGC
This 1057-nucleotide long non-coding RNA is filed under the name Sarcophilus harrisii (Tasmanian devil). RNAcentral's name for it is "lncRNA (ENSSHAG00000023847.1)". Lineage: Eukaryota; Metazoa; Chordata; Mammalia; Dasyuromorphia; Dasyuridae. The record is from RNAcentral.